GAUGAACGCUGGCGGCGUGCCUAAUACAUGCAAGUCGAGCGAACGGACGAGAAGCUUGCUUCUCUGAUGUUAGCGGCGGACGGGUGAGUAACACGUGGAUAACCUACCUAUAAGACUGGGAUAACUUCGGGAAACCGGAGCUAAUACCGGAUAAUAUUUUGAACCGCAUGGUUCAAAAGUGAAAGACGGUCUUGCUGUCACUUAUAGAUGGAUCCGCGCUGCAUUAGCUAGUUGGUAAGGUAACGGCUUACCAAGGCAACGAUGCAUAGCCGACCUGAGAGGGUGAUCGGCCACACUGGAACUGAGACACGGUCCAGACUCCUACGGGAGGCAGCAGUAGGGAAUCUUCCGCAAUGGGCGAAAGCCUGACGGAGCAACGCCGCGGGAGUGAUGAAGGUCUUCGGAUCGUAAAACUCUGUUAUUAGGGAAGAACAUAUGUGUAAGUAACUGGGCACAUCUUGACGGUACCUAAUCAGAAAGCCACGGCGAAUUACGG
This 496-nucleotide ribosomal RNA is filed under the name uncultured bacterium. Its description in RNAcentral is "partial 16S ribosomal RNA". It matches the Rfam family "Bacterial small subunit ribosomal RNA", at positions 28 to 506 of the family's 1533-position model. The record is from RNAcentral.